GAUGAACGCUAGCGAUAGGCUUAACACAUGCAAGUCGAGGGGCAGCACAAGGUAGCUUGCUAUCUGGGUGGCGACCGGCGCACGGGUGCGUAACGCGUAUGCAACUUGCCCUAUACAGGAGGAUAACCCGUCGAAAGACGGACUAAUACUGCGUAUGCUCACAACUUGGCAUCAAGUGGUGAGGAAAGAAAUUCGGUAUAGGAUAGGCAUGCGUCCCAUUAGCUUGUUGGUGAGGUAACGGCUCACCAAGGCAACGAUGGGUAGGGGAACUGAGAGGUUUAUCCCCCACACUGGUACUGAGACACGGACCAGACUCCUACGGGAGGCAGCAGUGAGGAAUAUUGAUCAAUGGGCGCGAGCCUGAACCAGCCAGGUCGCGUGAAGGAUGACUGUCUUAUGGAUUGUAAACUUCUUUUAUGCGGGAAUAACAAGAGUCACGUGUGACUCCCUGCAUGUACCGUAUGAAUAAGCAUCGGCUAACUCCGUG
RNAcentral lists this ribosomal RNA (487 nucleotides) under uncultured bacterium. RNAcentral's name for it is "partial 16S ribosomal RNA". It matches the Rfam family "Bacterial small subunit ribosomal RNA", at positions 28 to 507 of the family's 1533-position model. The record is from RNAcentral.